This 1034-nucleotide long non-coding RNA is filed under the name Olea europaea subsp. europaea. The record is from RNAcentral. Lineage: Eukaryota; Viridiplantae; Streptophyta; Magnoliopsida; Lamiales; Oleaceae.
CUUUUCUGAAGUCAGAAUAGAUUCGAGCAGGAAUGAUAUUAAAAAACACAGAACAUGAGAUGAACAAAAACAACACCAAAUUAAAGCGACAAUGUGUACAACCAAAUAUUAAUCGUCAUCAUCAUCAGCUUAGAUGUGAGAAGAUAAUUUUGUUAUUCACAGACGACCUAAUUUCAUACAAAAUAAAUUAGAAUUCUUAACUAGAAAUUGAAAAUGUGUAAAAACAGACUAGAUCUUGUCAAAUAUUAUGCUAAAAACAACAUAUCGAAAUGAAUUAUUAACGUUAAGAAUUAACAAUCUAAACAUUUAUUCAAUAAAUUAUCAACAUAUGAAUAAUUGAAUCCACCAAUACUUCAGUAUCGAAAUGCAUUAUAAAUCAAAUAGAACCACAAAAUUUGCAUGCACCAAAAAAAUUUACAAAAAUGGAAAUAACAACUGAGCUAAUUUACCUUGAUUUGAGAUAAAUGUUAUUGAGAGAGCAAAAAACAGAGAUUGAAUAGUUGCGUAGAUUUGAUUUUGAUUUUUGCUCUCUCUUUUCUCCAGACAUUUGGUUGACACGAGGAACGUUAAAGGAAGAAUAAAAUGAGAUACGACUUAGAAAUGAAGAAGAGCCAUUAAACAAAAUUCUAAACUUUGUUUUAGAUUCAAAGCACUUAAACAAAAAAAUUCACAAAGCACAAAUAAUAUACUCUAAAAAUUUUAAUCCUAUCCAACUGGGAUACAUAUACCCAUCUCAGAACUGUCCUAUUCCACUUUGAUCACAGAGAUUGUGGCUUCGCAGAAAGGGAAAAGAAGACCCCAAACAUAGAAAAAGCACAAAACAAUAUUUGGACAAAAAAAAAAAAGAAUAAGUACACAUAUGCAAACCGAACCCAAUGGCUUUCUCAACGAGUUCUUGGAUGUAAUUCUCACUGAAACAACGGUGGCCAACAUCAUAGACUUGACAAAGGAGGGAAACAGGUUUGGUCUUCUCAUGGCCACCACCCAGAUGUUUCAUUUGAAGCAUCUAAACAAUUUGGGAGUAAAGAGUUGAA